UACGUAGGUGGCAAGCGUUAUCCGGAUUUAUUGGGUGUAAAGGGCGUGUAGGCGGGAAAGCAAGUCAGAUGUGAAAACUCAGGGCUCAACCCUGAGCCUGCAUUUGAAACUGUUUUUCUUGAGUGCUGGAGAGGCAAUCGGAAUUCCGUGUGUAGCGGUGAAAUGCGUAGAUAUACGGGGGAACACCAGUGGCGAAGGCGGAUUGCUGGACAGUAACUGACGCUGAGGCGCGAAAGCGUGGGGAGCAAACAGG
Molecule: ribosomal RNA, 253 nt
Filed under: uncultured bacterium
Lineage: Bacteria
Description: partial 16S ribosomal RNA
Rfam family: Bacterial small subunit ribosomal RNA
Source: RNAcentral